GACGAACGCUGGCGGCGUGCUUAACACAUGCAAGUCGAACGGAAAGGCCUCUCUUGGGGGGUACUCGAGUGGCGAACGGGUGAGUAACACGUGAGUAACCUGCCCCUGACUUUGGGAUAACCUUAGGAAACUGGGGCUAAUACUGGAUAGGAGCUUCCGCUGCAUGGUGGGGGGUGGAGAGUUUCGGCGGUUUGGGAUGAGCUCGCGGCCUAUCAGCUUGUUGGUGGGGUAGUGGCUUACCAAGGCGUCGACGGGUAGCCGGCCUGAGAGGGUGGGAGGCGACAUUGUGAGUGUGAGAGGCGGCAGAGUCCUCCGGGGGGGAGAAGAGGGGAGAAUAGUACAAUAGGGGUGAGAGCGAGGUGGAGCAGCGGCGUGGGGGAUGACGGGGUCCGGGGUGUGAAAUCCUUUUAGGCAUGUCGAAGAGCUUGUGGUGACGGUAGUGGUAAAAGAAGCACCGGCUAACUACGUG
This 469-nucleotide ribosomal RNA is filed under the name uncultured bacterium. RNAcentral's name for it is "partial 16S ribosomal RNA". It matches the Rfam family "Bacterial small subunit ribosomal RNA", at positions 28 to 507 of the family's 1533-position model. The record is from RNAcentral.